CAGGGUUGGCGGACUUGAGAAGGAGUGAAGAUGGCGGAGUGAGGCUCGUUGAGGCUAUCUGGCCUUUGGGCCAGGGGGCGGGCCGGCCCUGGGGCGCUGGAGUGCUUCUGCUGGCCCGUGCGAGGUUCGUGCCCACUGUUUUGCCUGAGUCUCGGGUCUCAAUCGAGGCCGGUCCGAGUUCUGAGUGUCUUGUGUCCCCGUCCCGUUGACCUUGAGAUUUGAUAUAACAGGAAGAACAGUUUCCUUGCCAUUUAGGUGCUUUUAUAUUCAUCUCAAAAAGAAAACAAAAUGCUGAACUCGGAAUUUGGCAAGUAUUUCUACAUUGUCUCCUGGAGUGGGGUAGUCCUACUUCUUUUAUCUGGUCACCUUCCCUAUUGAAAUGUGGAUAUCUCUUCUCUACACUUUACCUCCAUGAUUUGGAUUGGAAAAGGCUGCUUUUCUUUUUGUUCUACCACUCCGAUUCAACACAGAGAAGCUCCUGGGGUGCAGUCAUCCUGCCAGGUUCUCUUGGAAGAAAGAAGCAGCUGACAUGUAUCUUCAGCUGCUAUUUGCUUAAUCACAAAGAAAUUAUUUCAAAAGCUGAAGGCUGAUGUCUGGUUUGAAACAGAUGCUUUGAUGGUGAUGUUUGUGAAUUCUUUACCUUUUGUUCCAAACGAGAAGACUGAAUAUAAAUAGUAGGACAUCAGGGUUUUGGGAUUUUUUUAACGUCUUCCAGUUUUAACCACUAUCAUGAUAAGCACAGUUGAGACUUGGCAACAGUAAAUUCCAGAUAUAUGUUCUAAUUUGAAGUGAAAGAGAUGCUUAAAGAGAUGGCUUACAUAUGUAUCUAAAUCCUGGCUUAUCCUUUGACAUGGAUUUACUAGGUAAGAACAAAGGUACCAUUUUGCAAUAAAACCCUUGAUGUGAUAAAAAAGUAAAAAGACAAGAUAUCACAAGGUUACUUUCAUAUGUGAAUAAACCAUCACAAACCUAUAAAUAGCUAUUUUUACAUAUGUAAGUCCACAGUUUGGGAUGAUAAGAGGAAUUUUUCUCCUGGAGAAGGAAGCUGUGGUUGACUUCAUUCUCAGAAAUCUUUGGAUAUUUGGUAUUUUUUAAUGUUUUUUCAUUCAUCUAAGGAAUGACCACAUUGUGCAGAUACUAACCUUAUGAAUGCAUGCUUGGGUUAGUGAAAGAUUGGUAAAAGGAAACAACAGUUUUGACUCCAGUGAUGGAACCCAGUUCACCUCUGUAGCAUGAGACCCCUACUGUAUUACAAAGUGUUUCAUUCUUUUUUGUGGAGUCUUAUAUAGCGCUUGAGACUCGGUUUUACAUGCUGCUAAGGCUGAAAGAAAAGUGGCAUAAGUGGAUUUUUUGUUCAGAGGAUGUGAUGGACCCUACAGUAUGGCCUGCCUCAGCUAUGGACAUAGAGGAGUGGAGGAAAAAAGGAGGACAGUUUCCGUAUUACUCCUUUUUCCUAGGAAAAAGAAGUGAAAAUGCUUUAUGCAGCUCCGUCUGAGUUUAUGACGUUUCACAUUCUUACAGCUUUUUUUGGUAAAAGCGUAAAUAAUUCUUUUCCUUUGACCCAAGAUGGGUUCUUGGGUAUUUGAUUUGUUUUUCUAGGUAAUAGAUGUAAUGUUUGACUGAAAAGGCUUGGACUCAGGUAACUUUCUUCAGUUGGAACUGAACUUUCUUAUCAGAGAAUGGACCGCAGAAGAAAUGUACCCAAACGUAAUUGGUUCAGUGUAGAUUUAGAAAAAUUCAGAGUCUGAAAAAAGGGGGGAGAAAAACCCCUCAAACAGGAAAAAUAAUUCCAAUAAGAAAAGUAAUGCACUUCCUUUCUGUUAAAACAUAUAUUAUCUGAUGAACAGUCUAUAGGGUAAAGCUGUCCUUGCUUCCAAAUCAACAGAGGACCAUUGUAUGAAUUGCCAGGUCUUUGCAUAAGAAGGAAACCUUUUAUAAUAAGUCUUUGUGAGUAGCGAAAGAAUUUAAAGCUGCUUUGAUGAAAUUAAGAUCAAAUCAUGUUAGAUCAUCUCUGUGUUAUAGGGAAUGUUUGCCCAGGGCCAUACGUGCUGUGCUGCUGAAAUCUUGGGAAAGAUUAUCAGAAUUUGAGAGUGAUCGAAAUAGCCAAAAGUGGAAAAUAAUUGAGCGUUCUUAAUCAUUAGUUAAAUUGGUCAGCUAGUUUGCAUUGACAUAAAACAUUUUGGCAAAAUAAUUAAUAUAGAUAAAAUAUAAUUUCCUUUAAUUGUGAGCAAUUACUCAGUGGUAAAGCAUAGUCAGAGUAGCUUAGAUAAAGGUAACUUAAAUUUUUCUCUUAGUAACUUCUCAGCCAUUUCCUGAUGUUUUCUCCCAGUAUUUUGGAAUUAUUAAAAACAGUGUAGGAAUGCUUUUAGCAAUGGAACCUGCCUAUAUGAGUCCCAUUGGUAUGUUGAAAAUAUCAACAUUUGUCUGUUAAACCCAUCUUCCCCAUUUUUUUUCUUUUUUGGCAAGAAUUGUUUGGCAGGGUGUAGAAGAGACGUGUACCAGCAGCACCAGUGAAACUGUCUCUUUCCCACUUGUUUAAAUAUGUGUGUGUGUAUCAGACUCAUCUUCUCAAGUUGCUUUACAUAUUUUCAUUUCACAACUUAAGAGACCACUGCUUAAUGCUUUCUUUCAAAUUGUUUCUGCAUCUUCCAUGAUUUUCAUCAGAUGGCAUUUAACAAAAUGGAUAUAUUCCAGUUGUACUUGCCCAGUGUUUAGUUAUUGCAUCUACAUUAUUUUCCCUGAUGUAUUUUGUUCCACUUCAUGACGGCAAAAGCUGUAAUUUUAGGCAGGACUGUGCCUCAGUCUGUAGCUGUGCCUACUUCCUUUACUUUGCUCAUCCAUGUUAGCUGGCAUUUUUUUCUUUUAAAAAGUUGAACAAAAACGGGAUAUGUGCAAUAGAAAUAUAUAUAUGUAUAUUUUUUUUCUAAAUACUUGUGGACAAAUGUUACAAGUUGUUUAAGAACAACAAAAUCACCAAUGUCUUCCAUUCUGAGAUGUGUAUAGUUUUGUAAGCAUUAGUGCUUGGUAGCAUAUGUAGUGCCAUGUUAGGGGUUAGUGCAUGAGCCUAGUGAUCCUUUAAACUUCAGGAUGAAUUACAGAAAAUAAUAGUGUAAAAAGAUUGGGAAACCUAGACCUUUUGUUUUUUCAUAAAUAUCUGAAUCUGUGAUAUUCUCCCUGGGGAAAAGAGAUUAAAGCCGAAAGUAUUCAUUUAGGAAUAGAAAUGUGGGGUUACAACAUGAGAUACUGUCUUUAAGGAUAUUUAAGCUUUCCAUUAGGUAGCUGGAAAGCAGUUGCCUUUGUGUCUUUAUGAAACCUUACAUCAAAAUGAGGCCCUAUUUCAUGAUUUGGCUUUGCUCUCAAGUUUGAAGUGAGAUUGUUCUUACACUGUUUUCACAUUGUAUGUCUGGUAGGUUUAUUGUUUUCCCACUCCUUUUGCAUCAGGUUAUUUUAUAUUUUGCAUGUUACUAAGAUUCUGUUUAUUGCUUAAGUGACUGUUUUUCUAAUCUGCAGGCCAUUUAUGCUUCCAUCUGCAGUAUGCUACAUGUUAGCAAACAACACUGAUCGUAGUUCAGUGUCCUAGAUGAAUUUCUCAUGGGUUUUUCCUGUUUCCAAAUCUGCUGAAUUGUUUAUUGAUGGGAUUCCAGACCUUUUCAUGAGAAUUGGAAAUGUAGCUAAAUGGAGCCUUAUCUAGGCUGCCAUGUAUUAACUCUCUGCUUGGUUAUAGUAAUUGCCUCAGGCUGCUUUCACUUUUUUCUGCUUUCCUCGUAGAAAUAAAAGUUUGUUUUGUUCUGAAAGCAUAGCUUUCUGUAGAAAAGAAAUUCCUACCUCUAAAAGCUUUCUUGAGAACUUGGAAAUGGCAGUUUUCUGGGGUGAUUUUUAGAUCUCAGGAGAGUUCAGGAUAGACACAGAUUCUACAGUUAGUAUGAUAUGAAAUGCAAAACAUUUUUAAUGUGGUGUGACACGUGCAGAAGCAGGCUUAAACAAAUCGACUCUUGGGCAACAGAUCUCUAGGGACCCAGGUUUAGAUUCUUAGAUUGUACUUAAAGUGGUUGUACUCUUGUUUCAAGUAGUUUAGUGCCUAGGAGAAUCCACUUCUGAAAAGCAUUUAAACAUUUUUAAAAAUACCUCUGAAAAGGUAAUGAAUGCAAAAUCGCAGAAUAUAUAGGAAAGAAUAUUUCCUAUUGCAAAAAAAAAGCCAUAAAACAAGCUGAUAAUUUUCAAGAGGUAGAAUUUCAGUAGCAAUAACAGUUUUGCAUGUAUAAUAAGUUGCAUUAGCAAGGUUGUACAAUAGACUACUACUUGAGUUUGAGACUUCGAUCAACAGAAUUCCAUGAAAGGAAAAAGAUGUUCUAGAUAGAAUGUAUAAAUGUAGUUUAAAAAAAAAAAAAACUAUGAAUGUGCAUGAAUAUAUCAUUAUGUGAGAAAUAGCAACUUUUGUAAGUCAAAGUUUAAAUACUUUACUUGGUUGCUAGAGCAGAGGGUUAAAGCCUCAUUAAAUUAACCUUACCUGAUGCUUAACCUGCUUUGUCACCUCAUCUUUCUCCAUUAGUUUCCUGGGUACAUUUUUUUAAAGAGAGAAAAGUUUGUUGUGUAUAUAUAUUUAUGGCUUAAAAAACAAACCAAGAGCUUGGAUAACUGGCUUUUCUUCAUGCCUAUUAGUGCAGGGGAGUUAGGAUUUAAAGGUGUUAAGCAAAAGGAUUGAAAGGAAUGGCCAAAGACAGUACAUCAUCUAAUGUAGAUGUGCCAAGGCCUGUGGUCUGUUGACACCUUAUUUUAACAGGAACCCAGCAAACUAGUUUCUUGAUCUGAAGAAUAACACAGCUCUCACAUCUGGAUGUAAGGGUGUAACAAAGGCGACUACUUUUACCUCAUGUUCACCUUGGCCAUUUAGUACCUUGAAGAUUCCCAAAAAGAGUGUGUUCCCUUGUUUCCCAGGGGAAGAAGCUGAAAGGUAAAUAGAGUGGAUCUAAGAAAAUAGUGCCUCUUGAAUACUAAAUUCUUAAAUGGCAACUCCAAAGGAUAGAGAAAAGGCUAUCUUAAAUGAUUAUAGCUCCUCUUUAUAUGUCCUAUGCCUUCAGUUGGUGUUAGAGGCAUUGGAAUAACCAAGCAAUAUUUAGACAUCUGCACGAUCAUGAGGACACCACUGGAUAUUACAGUGAUGUCAACAGUUUAGUUAAUUAGAACAAUUAAAAUAUUACCCUCAACAGCCACAUUAAUAGUUGUAAAUGCUCAAAUGUGCUCUUAAGUUUUUGUGGUCUCAAAGUAUGGUUGAUUAUUUUUCAAUAUUGUGAUUCCAUGUUUACUCUUUGUGUACCUGUGAUAUGCAAAAUAUGAAGAGACCCUUGGCCUCUAGGAGUUUACAUUCUCAUGGUGCUGCUGGUACAAGCAAAUUGCUUCUAGUUUAUUCAGAACAUUGCUUGGCUGUUAAUUAUACCAUGUUUGGAAGGAUUCCUUGGCCAACAGUUUUCAAAAGCAGAGGGCUAUGCUAAACUUCAGGGCAUUGAUUUUUGAGUUUACAUUGUAUUAGCUCUGCUGUUCAUAAACUCCUUUCCCCAGGGAGCUGUGCAGGUAUGCUCAUUAAUGUGAAUGAGAAACCAUCCUGCCUGAGAGCAUUUUCAUCGUCUGUACCACCUAUGCUCUUCCAUGCCAUCACUGUCAGUAAAUGGCCAAGAAAAUUUAACUGCUCCAGAGGACAUCUGUCAGUACUCUUUUCCCAAAUUUUUACAUUAUUCUCUACCCGAAAGGACCAGAAUUUGCAAUUAAGCCUUUUAUAACUGAAUAGUGGUCCUAAUUUUAACCUUUUUGUCUGUGACUUUUGUAACUCUAUUCUGAAGCAGCAUUGUGAUAGAUGUGGAGCAGCUGCCUGCAUUUCUAAGCAAUCACUUUAUUAACCUAUAUUUUCAGUUGAAACUGCAUGUAUCCUUGUAAUUUUCCCUAAUUCCUCUUAGUCAAAGAGUUUACUCUGCAUGUUUAUUAAAACUGGGUCUGGAUGAAAGUGUGAGCAAUAGUGGCAGGCCCAUAACUCUUUAAGAGUAUAAUCCUAAUGCAUGGUUGAAAAUGUACAGUGUUAAUGUGGUUACUAGUAAUUAUAUGUAUCCAUUUAUUAGUAAUGAAGCAAUAGAGACUUCAACCACUAUCUUGAAUUAUUAUUUGGAUCAUUAGUUUUCAUUUUCUAAGUAAAGACUUUCUUCCAUUGAAAAUGGGAGCUAGAAGAUAAACAGGGGCAACCACAAGACAUUCAGACUGUCAGGAAUAGAGCAUAACAGUGCUCACCCUCUAACCUCUCGCCUGCUUCCAUUAGUCCCCAAGCAUGUUUAAAAACAAAAGGCACAAACUAAGCAUGUUGAAUAAACAAACAAGCUGCUGUGGUUCUAAUCAGGUGCAGAGUUUCAGAAAGGGUACGGAGCGCCAGUGUGGAAGAUGUAAUCAGGAAUGGGAUUUGUCUGAUAGAAGUUUAUGUGGCUUACGUUUGGAUCUCUUUAAGACUAGAAUCUUGAAAGUGAAUAGAAACAAUAAUGCACGUAUUUCAGAUGUUCCACGAUUUUCAGGUAACUGGGCAGCUCUUUGGAUGGUACUGCUAUUAACCAGCCAUAAGAGUUCCUUCCAGCAAAGGAGCCCUUUACAUUUUAUGGAAAUAGUCCUUAAAAUAUACACACAUCUGUGGUUUGGUUUCUCUGUCGUUACUGUUUUCAGAUUUUCAAAGAAAAGUUUUAUAGCCAGUUUUAUCCUUAAUAUUUUGGUUAGACUUCAUAAUUUGUUGCCUAAAGUUUUUUUAUGCCAGGUAACAAGGAGCAAUUUUUCCCAUUCUGUAGAAAAACCUUGUCAUUUAUUUUCUUGAUGUAGAAAAUAGAUCAGUUUAUUGUGAUAGCUUACAAUUUUUUGAGAUGAUUUCUGAUUUUGAAAUAACCCCUGUAAGAACAUGUGAUCAUGACGAAUGUACAAAUAGGAUUCAUUGUAUCUGAAAGAGGCCUAAGUAGAAGAGAGUUCAGGAUUAGACUGGUAGUCACUAGGCACCAUCCAGUUUCAUGUUCUGUGAUUGAAAAAUAUUUUUUCCAAAAUUAUUUCAACCUGAUUUUAAUCUUAGCUGUGGGAUUUGAUUCCAAAUACCUUGAUAUCCAAAUACCUGGAUAACUUUCCAGUAGUUAAAAAUUGAAUUACUAAUAGUCAUUUUACUCAGUUCAGGAAGUGAAAUGUCAUAUCCCAUAUGUAAAGUUUCUCUUUGAUACUUACCAGUAACAUGUCUGCCAAACAAACCAGUAAAGAUUGAAGGACAGAGUUUCUCUAAUCUGUUUCCAUUAUUCCACUGGGGCAUAUUAAAAUGUUAACAUUAGAAAUCCAAACAUCACAGAUUUCUCUAGGAACUCAUACUUCUAAACCUUCAAGUCAGAAUAGAUAUGUUAAGGUUAGAAUUUUCGAAAGAUUUUGUCUCCUUUGGUGAUGCUGUGCCACACCAGAGAUUAAAAUGUUUUUCUCCCAGGGAUAAGUAUUCUGGCAAUAAAUUAUCAUCAGUCCUUAAGCAACAGUAAUGUUUUGACCCUUACCUUAAAACCAUGCAUCACUGGUAAUUUUAAAAGAUUCAUAUUAGAAUAACCUUCACAUAGACUUACUUCAGUAGCUUGUUUUUACUUACUGUUCAGCAUCUUCUCCCUCCCAUGGUAUAUGAGAUAAUGUUAAAAGACUUUCAUUGACUGUUUGGAGUUUUACAAAAGGCCGCUUGCUUUCUAAUCUAUGCAUCUUUGGGACUGUAGAUGAAAUUUUAUUCUUUGCUGUAAGAAGGAACUGCUGUGAGAGUUAAAAGCUCUGCACCUGUGUACAUAUAUAUUUUGGCAAUAAAGCAGCAUGGGCUGAGAAUGCA
Long non-coding RNA from Odocoileus virginianus texanus, 7855 nucleotides. RefSeq lists it as uncharacterized. The record is from RefSeq and is a predicted model, not a curated record. Lineage: Eukaryota; Metazoa; Chordata; Mammalia; Artiodactyla; Cervidae.